GACGAACGCUGGCGGCGUGCUUAACACAUGCAAGUCGAACGGAAAGGCCCUGCUUGCAGGGUGCUCGAGUGGCGAACGGGUGAGUAACACGUGGGUGAUCUGCCCCUUACUUUGGGAUAAGCCUGGGAAACUGGGUCUAAUACUGGAUAGGACCAUGCUGUAGGUGGUGUGGUGGAAAGAUUAGUUUCGGUAAGGGAUGAGCUCGCGGCCUAUCAGCUUGUUGGUGGGGUAAUGGCCUACCAAGGCGUCGACGGGUAGCCGGCCUGAGAGGGUGGACGGCAACAUUGGAACGGGAUACCGGCCCAGCUCCCUCGGGGGGGAGGAAGUGGGGAAUUUGGACCAUGGGCGCAAGCCUGAUGCAGCGACGCCGCGUGGGGGAUGACGGCCUUCGGGUUGUAAACUCCUUUCAGCCAUGACGAAGCCCUUGUGGUGACGGUAGUGGUAGAAGAAGCACCGGCUAACUACGUG
This 468-nucleotide ribosomal RNA is filed under the name uncultured bacterium. RNAcentral's name for it is "partial 16S ribosomal RNA". It matches the Rfam family "Bacterial small subunit ribosomal RNA", at positions 28 to 507 of the family's 1533-position model. The record is from RNAcentral.